RNAcentral lists this ribosomal RNA (468 nucleotides) under uncultured bacterium. Its description in RNAcentral is "partial 16S ribosomal RNA". It matches the Rfam family "Bacterial small subunit ribosomal RNA", at positions 28 to 507 of the family's 1533-position model. The record is from RNAcentral.
GACGAACGCUGGCGGCGUGCUUAACACAUGCAAGUCGAACGGAAAGGCCCUGCUUUUGUGGGGUGCUCGAGUGGCGAACGGGUGAGUAACACGCGAGUAACCUGCCCUUGACUUUGGGAUAACUUCAGGAAACUGGGGCUAAUCCCGGAUAGGAGCUUCUGCUGCAUGGUGGGGGUUGGAAAGUUUCGGCGGUUGGGGAUGGACUCGCGGCUUAUCAGCUUGUUGGUGGGGUAGUGGCUUACCAAGGCUUUGACGGGUAGCCGGCCUGAGAGGGUGACCGGCCACAUUGGGACUGAGAUACGGCCCAGACUCCUACGGGAGGCAGCAGUGGGGAAUAUUGCACGAUGGGCGGAAGCCGGAUGCAGCAACGCCGCGUGCGGGAUGACGGCCUUCGGGUUGUAAACCGCUUUCGCCUGUGACGAAGCGUGAGUGACGGUAAUGUGUAAAGAAGCACCGGCUAACUACGUG